RNAcentral lists this ribosomal RNA (356 nucleotides) under Pseudomonas sp. 1280. RNAcentral's name for it is "bacterial SSU rRNA". It matches the Rfam family "Bacterial small subunit ribosomal RNA", at positions 1134 to 1490 of the family's 1533-position model. The record is from RNAcentral. Lineage: Bacteria; Pseudomonadati; Pseudomonadota; Gammaproteobacteria; Pseudomonadales; Pseudomonadaceae.
GGCACUCUAAGGGGACUGCCGGUGAUAAGCCGGAGGAAGGUGGGGAUGACGUCAAGUCUUCAUGGCCCUUACGGGCUGGGCUACACACGUGCUACAAUGGCGGUGGACAGAGGGUUGCUAGGCUGCGAAGUCAUGCUAAUCCCUAAAAGCCGUCUCAGUUCGGAUUGCACUCUGCAACUCGAGUGCAUGAAGUCGGAAUCGCUAGUAAUCGCAGAUCAACACGCUGCGGUGAAUACGUUCCCGGGCCUUGUACACACCGCCCGUCACACCAUGGGAGUUGGUUCUACCCGAAGCCGGUGCGCUAACCGCAAGGAAGCAGCCGACCACGGUAGGGUCAGCGACUGGGGUGAAUCGUA